UCACUACUCCCUCUGUCCCAAAUUUUUGUCUUAGAUUUGUCUAGAUACGGAUGUAUCCAAUACUAAAAUGUGACUUGAUACAUCCGUAUCUAGACAAUCUAAGACAACAAUUUUGGGACGGAGGGAGUACUUU
Molecule: non-coding RNA, 133 nt
Organism: Triticum aestivum (bread wheat)
Lineage: Eukaryota; Viridiplantae; Streptophyta; Magnoliopsida; Poales; Poaceae
Source: Rfam